UAUGGGCCAGAAAAAAAUCCAAAUGGUGACAGCGAAAGCUCAAAUACACAGUGUUUCUGACYCCAGACUGACUGAUGGACAUUCUGCUUCUUUCUUGUACCUAAAAUAGAGAUUUUGCCAAUCCCUGAGCUGUUGUGUCAAGGCCUGAGUAGAAGAGACCUUGCAUGGAGAGAGUAGUUUGUUGUGUUUCACCGAAGAAACAACUUUGAGCUGUGUGGCUGUUUCUUACCCUUUUUCAAGGUGUUCUUGUAGCCAAGUCCUCUGUUUAGGUUAGAUUUUCUGAGUUGCUGGAAAUGCCAAGAGGUCAAUGGAGGARAAGCACUUUCCCAGUUGGGUGAGAAAAUGAGGCUUUGCUGCUUGGCACCCUUCUUUGUUGGGCUGAUAGUGGUUAAUAGGAAAUUGUGGGACGUGCUGGAAUUGUUAAAAUACUURAGUAGAAAGUGGUACAGAAGUGCUAGGAACAGUGAACCUUCAUGCACAGAGAAAACCAAACCCUGUUGUCUGAAGCACUGGAAGUUGGUCCUGGACCACCAAUUUYGUCGUUGCAAUGGUGAAAACACGCGUUUGGCUUGCAGUACAGAGUGGCAGCCCCAUGUCACAAACAGGUACAAGAGAAGAUAAAGCUUGCCCCUAAAGGUCUCUUGGCCUAAUACUGUCAGGAAGAAAAAUCUUCGUUGGAGUCGGUGAGAAGAGGCAGUCAGAAGAGACGAGGCACAGCAGUCUGAGCAGCACCACGAACCUGCUGCAUUUAUUUGCUGCUGACUCUUCUUCCUGGUGAGCUCGUGCCUGGGGGCUCCUCWUUCUGAUGUACUUUAGAAACCCCUCUGUCUUGUAACACCAGUGGGCAAAAGAAGAAACCCUUUCCCUGUCACAAGGCUGUUCCUGCUUGUAACAAGUUCUCUGCCAUUCCUGURUGGGGUGGCAGGGGCCCUCUGCAACCUCCUUCCAGUGCCGCCAUGUGCAUGAGCUUUUGAAAAGCUUUUUCUGUGAAMGCUUUGCAGAUACCAUGGGAAUAUGAGUCUCCUGCGAGAUGGUUGCUGAUGUGCACUAAGCUGUUAUUUUUCUUCCUCCCAAGUGUUUUAAUUGUUUUUUAGGUUGACUUCUAUUUACAACCUUGUCGUUUUGCUCUUGUUUCUGCAGCUCAGCCUGCAGGUUAGUGAGGUACAWACAGGAGGAGUUUCAGCUUGCAUUUGCAUUAGCUUUGGCUGCUCUUUUCUGUGCAGCAUCUUCCUCUCUGUCCUGAAGCUGUCAAUGAUACCAG
This 1261-nucleotide long non-coding RNA is filed under the name Dromaius novaehollandiae (emu). RNAcentral describes it as "lncRNA (ENSDNVG00000007488.1)". Lineage: Eukaryota; Metazoa; Chordata; Aves; Casuariiformes; Dromaiidae. The record is from RNAcentral.